ACGUCACGUCCGGCCCCGCCCCGCGGACGGUGGCUGACAGGCUGCGCCGCCGGUGCCCAGGGCGAUGCUGCUCCCCACGGCACUUCGGGCCCGCGUGGCUGGGGCGCCUGGGGCAGCCGAGCCGCUGCCGGUGGAGCGGAACCCCGAGGCCCGAGCGGCGCCCUUCCGCUUCGUACCGCGUCUGGUGCGUUUCCCGAGGGAACAUGAGUUCUUCGAGGAUGGGGACGUGCAGCGGCACCUGUACCUGCAGGAUGUGCUUACACAGGUGGCCGAGGCGCCAGAGAAAUCCAGGGUGCCUGAGUUCACCUGUCAGGUGGCUGGCUGCUGCCAAGUGUUUGCUGCUCUGGAGGACUACCAGCACCAUUACCAUAUGAUGCACGGGAAUGCCUGCUCACUGUGUAGCCGGGCCUUCCCCUCUGAGCAUUUGCUGGAUACCCACAUUCUGGAGUGGCAUGAUUCACUCUUCCAGAUCCUGGCAGAAAGACAAGACAUGUACCAGUGCUUGGUUGAAGGCUGCCCUGAGAAAUUCAAGACCACGCAGGAUCGGAAGGAUCACAUGGUGAGGCUCCAUCUCUACCCUGCAGAUUUCCGGUUUGAUAAGCCCAAGACUAACAGAGGCCCAGCCACGCCAGAGACUGUUGCAGACCUGUCCACCAGAACCCUGGCGGAUGAUGGGGAUGCUAUGGAAGUCUGCUGUGAACCCACGUCACUGACCCCAGCACGAGUGGGUGAGAGGCGGACCUACAAUCACAGAAUACCUUCUACCAUCUGUUUCGGCCAGGGUGCAUUGAGAGGGUUUAAAAGCACCAAGAAAAGAAAUAAACACCACUGAUGGGGAGAAAGAACCAAACAUCUGAGCAGACCAGGACAGAGAAACAUAACCUCCUGCAGGAGAUGGAGGCUUCAUAGGGGAAGAGAGUUCAUUCCUCGGACUCCUGCUUGUUCUUCUUGUACAACCAAAAUAAUGCACCCCUGAUACCAGCUCCUAGCAUGACCAUUAUGAUGGUUGAGUGUGUCAACUUGAGAAGUUUGGUUGAGAAGCCUCGCUAAAUCAGCUCAGCAGUUCCAUGCCCUAGGGCAUGAGGGAUCCACCCCAGGGCGGCAAGUUGCCUGGAUGUUAUAAGGGGAAAAUGAAGGAUGCAGCUGCUUCUGUCCCUUUGGAGGAGCUUCCGUCUUCGCCUUGAGCCUUGGAUGCCAUCUCCUGCCUUGCAGCGCAGACUCUUCAGCUUCCGGUGUGGAUCCUCAAUAAGGACAAGCAUGAGACAUUGCCUUGGGCUCUAGGCCACUGGCUGGACUCAUAGAGGACAUUGUCUUGGACUUCAGGCCUUCAGCUGGACUCACGUGGGACAUUGCUAUGGGAUCCAGGCCCUUGGCUGGAUUCUUUGGAUCUCUAGUGUGCAGUUAGAUCUCUGCAUUUGACUUUUUGGGUUAAUAAUAUAAAAUAAUCCUAUAAAUCAUGUGUCCUGUAUUAAAUCUAUUUCCUUGCAAACCCUGACUACAGCAAAAUUGGUACCAGGAGUGAGGCCAUCCCUGUGAUGUUGCCUGGCUAUGUGGUUUAAGCUUAAAAGCUUCGGGAAUCAAACUGGAAAGGUUUUGAGAGACAGACCAAAGGGGCAACCCUGGUACCUCUAAACUAUAUGGGAGACUCUGGUCAGAGCCUGGAAAAUCAAGAGUACUGUGGAAAUGCUGCCAGUGAGGAUGAGGCUCAGGAGGCUUCUCUAGAGUACCACAUUGACUGCUGGAUCCUAGCAGUGUAUGUUGUGCUUUGGCAGGAAGUUGGUCUGCAUUUUGUCUAGAGACAUUGCCUGGGAGGUGUUUAAGUGUUGUUAAAUCUUGUAUGUAAAUGGAAACCCAAAGAGUUUUAAAAUUUGAAGCCAUAAUAUGGAAAUGAGUGUAAUAAGAAUUAUAUAUAUGUAAUUAUUAUAUUAGUGUAAAUCUGAAGAGAUCAAGAUAUGUUAACUUUUCACAGAUCUAUCACUGGAGACUGGUUCAAGGAAAAGUGCCUGGUUAUCAAAUUGAUCAGGGGUAGGUUGUGCUGAAUUAAUUAAUGGUAAAUUUGGAAUGGCCAGCUGAACUGAAUCAGCAUGGUUUGGGUGUGGAAGACCUACUUGAUUGUUGCCAACAGCAUAAAAAGAGCUGGAGGGGAAGAUCGUUGGCUGUUGAUUUUCUUGGAGAAGCUUUCUGCGGGUGAUUUUCCUGAUGCGAACUUGGCUAAAGGAUCUGAGUGGAAGCCGAAGAGUCUGCACUGCAAGACGAGAUGACUAAGUCUAUGCUGCAAGGCAGAUGAUGUCCAAGGCCCAAGGUGAAGAUGGAAGCUCCUCCCAAGGAACAGAAGCAGCUGUAUCCUUCUUCAUUUCCCCUUUAUAAAAUCCAGGCAGGGAGCAUGCCCCCCCCCCGCCCGGGGGUGGACCUCUUAUGCCCUAGGGCGUAGAAUUGCUGAGCUGAUUUAGCUAAGUUUUCCUUAACUAAACUUCUCAAAUUGACACAAUCACUCAACCAUCCAACUACAUUAGCUCUUUUUAUAGCAGCAUGUUUUGCCAGACUUCUCUUGUCAGCAGUAUUGAUACCCAGAAGCACUGUGUUGUAGUCUUUGGGAAUUAUUCAUUCUGGGAUAUGGUGCCAGUAAGCUUUUCCAUUGCUGAGACACAAUAUUCAACACCCACAAUUUAAAGGAGGAAAGGUUUAUUUUGGCUUAUGGUUUCAUUGGGUUCAGUCCAUAUUCAGCAGGUUGCAAAGCAGAAAUAGUGAAGGGGCAUGGCAGAGUCAACUGCUCACCUAUGGCAGCCAGGAAACAGAGGAGCUGGGGACAAGAAUACACCCAGGUCACAUCCCCACUGACACACCUACAACCAGGCCCCACCUCCUACCAGCACAUUCAGCUGUAAACUCAUUGAUGGAUUAAUCCUUUGGUGAGUAUAGAGCCCCCAUGAUCCAAUCACCUUUCAAAAGCCCCCUCUGGGCAUAUGAGGCUUUUGAGGAACAUUUUAGAUCUAAAUUAUAACAAUCCAAUCCUAUCUUCUUACCUACCUAAAAAACUAUUUGUCGUCUGUUUUUCGCCUAACAAAGAAUGCAAAACUUAAGUGAAGAAUGUUACUGAAGCUGGUGUGAUGGUGAAGACCUAUAGUCCCAGCACUCGGGAAGCUGAGGUAGGAGGAUAACAAGUUUGAAGUCACCCUAAGCUAGAUAGUGAAACCUUGUCUUAAAAAAAAAAAGAAAAAAAGAGAAAGUACUACUGAUGAAAAAGGAAUUCUCCAUCAUAAUUAUUUGCCGUGGGCUGUCUUGUUCUCUGGGAAAGGCUCACAUCUCUGGUGUAGAAUAUGAUAUGAGCUCUAGGUGGCAAGUGGCAGAAGCACUUCUUAAGGAAAUUCAACUUGCAGACUCCUGCAGUGGUCACUGCUGCUCUUCAGGCUCCAUGAUGCCAAUCAAGAACAAGAAGAAAGAUGCCAGAAAGUCAAUCAAGAAAGAUAAUAACCCCGUGAACAAACCUGGGAGCAAACCCAAAAAGAAGUCCAAAUGCAAGGUUCAGGACAAGCUCAACAACCUGGUCUUGUUUGAUAAAGCUAUUUAUGACACACUAUAAGAAAGUUACUAGGUAUAAACUUAUAAUCCUUUAGGAUCUCCUUAGUAAAGGAUUUAUCAAGCUGGUUUUAAAGCACAGAGCUCAAGGUACUUAUACCAGAAAUACCAAGGGUGAUACCCCACCUGCUGGUGAAGAUACACGAACAGGUCCAACAACCUGUUCAUUUGGAAAAAUAAAAUUGUUAUUAAAAAAUAAAAUAAA
This is an RNA transcript of Heterocephalus glaber (naked mole-rat), 3781 nucleotides long. It is a transcript of the gene named zinc finger protein 511, with no coding region annotated. The record is from RefSeq and is a predicted model, not a curated record. Lineage: Eukaryota; Metazoa; Chordata; Mammalia; Rodentia; Bathyergidae.